UUUUUCUCUUUCACCUCGUGCCGGGAAGCCGAAAUCCCACACCAGGCCCCCAAGAAAAUGAAAAGAAUUCAACGUCACCACUAAAAUCUCUGUUGUCUCUAUUACCAAUCAUCCCUCGCUCUCUCUGAAUCGGGAUUUUUCCGAAGGAAUGUGUGUCCAUUAAGCCUGAUUCUGAUUUUCCUCUCUGCCACACUCUGUAUUCUUCGUUUUGAGAAACAUAAAUUCGAUGUCGGAGACAACAAUUUCCUACAAUCCGACCAAGGUUUGUUCUGCUAUUGAUUUGGGGUUCUGGACUCUCUCCAUGACAUGGAUUGCAACCAUCUACGGCAACAUCCCCUGUAGAAAACUAUCACCAACACCCCAGCUCCAGUGCACCGUCUUUGAUCUUGCUGGUUGAGCUGUCAAUGGUGUUGUUAUUGCGACUGAGAAGAAAUUACCACCGAUCUUGGUAGAUGAGACAUCUGUGCUCUAUGAUUACAUAGAAGCCUAUCACUAUCUGAUUUUCUAAAGGACAUCAGAUAUCCCCAUGGAAAAAGUUGACAGUUAGGGGGGCCAGAAGGGCAAAAUCCUUCAGAUACUUGAGACAACUGUUGAGCAAGUUUUGAUAGCCUAAAUGAGUUCAGAGCAGCUAAUUUAUUUUGCUACUUAUCAGCAAAAACAGUGUUGCCUGCCACUUUCUAUUUUAUAUUAUACAUUAAAAAGACAACUUCCAUGAUCCCAGUGGGAAUGCUAUCAAAAUACAAGGGUUGAUAACUGUAGCUGGAUUAUUCCAA
Molecule: long non-coding RNA, 773 nt
Organism: Macadamia integrifolia
Lineage: Eukaryota; Viridiplantae; Streptophyta; Magnoliopsida; Proteales; Proteaceae
Exons: 4
Source: RefSeq, a predicted model, not a curated record